AUAGCGUAUAUUUAAGUUGUUGCAGUUAAAAAGCUCGUAGUUGGACUUUGGGCCGGGUCGGCCGGUCCGCCUCACGGCGAGCACCGACCUACUCGACCCUUCAGCCGGCGAUGCGCUCCUAGCCUUAAUUGGCCGGGUCGUGCCACCGGCAUCGUUACUUUGAAGAAAUUAGAGUGCUCAAAGCAAGCCAUCGCUCUGGAUACAUUAGCAUGGAAUAACGUGAUAGGACUCUGGUCCUGUUGUGUUGGUCUUCGGGACCGGAGUAAUGAUUAAUAGGGACAGUUGGGGGCAUUCGUAUUUCAUUGUCAGAGGUGAAAUUCUUGGAUUUAUGAAAGACGAACUUCUG
This 346-nucleotide ribosomal RNA is filed under the name uncultured eukaryote. RNAcentral's name for it is "SSU rRNA". It matches the Rfam family "Eukaryotic small subunit ribosomal RNA", at positions 594 to 945 of the family's 1831-position model. The record is from RNAcentral.